RNAcentral lists this ribosomal RNA (706 nucleotides) under uncultured Lachnospiraceae bacterium. Its description in RNAcentral is "bacterial SSU rRNA". It matches the Rfam family "Bacterial small subunit ribosomal RNA", at positions 28 to 735 of the family's 1533-position model. The record is from RNAcentral. Lineage: Bacteria; Bacillati; Bacillota; Clostridia; Lachnospirales; Lachnospiraceae.
GAUGAACGCUGGCGGCGUGCUUAACACAUGCAAGUCGAACGGGAAACAUUUCAUUGAGGCUUCGGCGGAUUUGAUCUGUUUCUAGUGGCGGACGGGUGAGUAACGCGUGGGUAACCUGCCUUAUACUGGGGGAUAACAGCCAGAAAUGACUGCUAAUACCGCAUAAGCGCACAGAACCGCAUGGCUCCGUGUGAAAAACUCCGGUGGUAUAAGAUGGACCCGCGUUGGAUUAGCUAGUUGGCAGGGCAGCGGCCUACCAAGGCGACGAUCCAUAGCCGGCCUGAGAGGGUGAACGGCCACAUUGGGACUGAGACACGGCCCAGACUCCUACGGGAGGCAGCAGUGGGGAAUAUUGCACAAUGGGGGAAACCCUGAUGCAGCGACGCCGCGUGAAGGAAGAAGUAUCUCGGUAUGUAAACUUCUAUCAGCAGGGAAGAUAAUGACGGUACCUGACUAAGAAGCCCCGGCUAACUACGUGCCAGCAGCCGCGGUAAUACGUAGGGGGCAAGCGUUAUCCGGAUUUACUGGGUGUAAAGGGAGCGUAGACGGCGCAGCAAGUCUGAUGUGAAAGGCAGGGGCUUAACCCCUGGACUGCAUUGGAAACUGCUGUGCUUGAGUGCCGGAGGGGUAAGCGGAAUUCCUAGUGUAGCGGUGAAAUGCGUAGAUAUUAGGAGGAACACCAGUGGCGAAGGCGGCUUACUGGACG